UUUUUAACCGACUUCCAAAAAAGGAGGAGGUUCUCAAUUCGACUGUAUUUUUUUUUUUUUUUUUUUUGUAUGUUACAUCAGAACUUUUGACCGGGUGGACCGAUUUCGACAAAUUUUGUUUUAAUCGAAAGGUGGUAUGUGCCAAUUGGUCCCAUUUAAAUUUAUUUGAGAUCUAACAACUACUUUUUGAGUUAUAUCCAAUAAUGCGUUUUUACUUGACGCUUUUUUCGUCGACCUACGCUCUAUUAUACCACAUAACUUUCUACUGGAUGUACCGAUUUUGAUCAUUCUUUUUUGUUGGAAAGGGGAUAUCCCCAGUUUGGUACCGUCAUAAGGAAAC
RNAcentral lists this unclassified non-coding RNA (340 nucleotides) under Melitaea cinxia (Glanville fritillary). RNAcentral's name for it is "misc RNA ENSMCXG00005020899.1". The record is from RNAcentral. Lineage: Eukaryota; Metazoa; Arthropoda; Insecta; Lepidoptera; Nymphalidae.